UCCUUGUUCUCCGGCUUGCUCCGCCACCACGAAGUUCUGUGGUACCACCAGCAAUUGUCCCCUCCUAAGCUCACCGUCGAACACUGCAUUCCCUUGGCAGUUCACAACUCUAACCUUUCCUUGUCCUCGAGUCACAUAGAUCACACUGUUUGCAUUCAGAUUCCAAUGUGGAGAGUAAAUUCCAUUCUGCAUGGAUAUAAUAACAUGUGUUACGUAUCAUCAUCAUUAUUAUUAUAUAUUAUAUAUUUACACCAAUAUUUUUAUUAUUUUUUUAUUAAAAGUAGUAGAACCAACAAGUAACUAUAAUUAUUAUCAAAUAAGUCUUCAUUGACAUGUUAAAGUAACUCAUAAAAAUCAAUGCACAAUUAUAAUACAUUACAGUUCAACUACCCCUAGAGAAUCACUAAAGAAUUACCCAUAUCAAAUGAUAUUUUAAUGACAUUUAAAGGAAUCCAACCCUACAACAUACUUACUGACAUUUUUAUAUGUCUUCUAAAUUAUUAUAUCAUAUGAUUUAUGACAUAAAGAUUUUUCCCUUUUGUGCUUUCUUUUUAUUUCUUAAUUUUCUCAAGAUAGACUAAUUGACAAUUGAAUAUCCACGGAAAAAUUACUGGUAGAUGUGUAAGUAUGUACGUAUAUUAGUUUCAUGUUGAUUACUUAGUAAUAUGAAUGAGGUGAAUUACAUACCUUGUAGAGGACAACAUAUUGGGCACUGAGUUGGAAUUGGCGGAGGGCUGGGAGGGUGAGGCUGUUGAGGGUACUAAUGCGACCAGCUUUAGGGUUGUAGAAGUCAGCGCGUGAAGGGCGAGCAAUGUUCUCGUGAAGCUUCAAGGUGCAGAUAUUUUCCUCAACCCCGUUUCUUGUCUCGCAUCCUCUUUCACGUGGUUCUUCUUGUCUAGGUCUUCUGGGUUGUGUCUUUUUCGAUCUCCAUUCGCGGCUCUUGCGAGGUUGAUCUUCAUCUUCAUCUUCGUCCUCGUCCUGGUCCUGGUCUUGUUCACGCUUUCCUUGGCUUGGUCGACUAGGACGAGGUUUAUCUUCAUCUUCGUCCUCGUCCUCGUCUUGUUCACGCUUUCCAUGGCUUGGUCGGCGAGGAGGGUGAGAGGGAAUUUGUUCAUCUUCAUCAUCUUCGUCUUCAUCUUCAUCUUCAUCUUGUUGUUCUUGCCACUUGGGGCUGAUAACGCUGAGACCUCCUUCCACUGUCACGAUCUGCUUCCUUUCGUCGUCUGGAGACUGAAGUUUCUCAGCUAUGUCCUCGUUGGUGUUGAAGGAUUGUGCCAAGAAGUGUUUGCUGAAGCCACUGAGCACGCUGCCACCUUCUUCCUCUUCCUCCUGCUGGUGUUGCCCCUGCUUGCGUCCACCAUGACUUUUCUGCUGUUGUUGUUGUUGCAUGGUCUCUGGGUACUCUAUAUCUGGGUUCCCAGCAAGGUAAAAUACCUGAAAGUGAAAAAAUUAACAAGUGAGGAGAACAUGGUUUUUGUUAAUAGUAAAUGAAAUUGAAUUGAUAAUUACCCUAGGGGUUUGAUCAAGCUGGUUAUUGAAGUUAGAGGUGUCAAGAAGACUGAUGGCAACAACUGGUUCAUCGCCAGUGUUAUAGGUCCAGUAAGGAACACCAGGAGGAAUCACGAGUACGUCUCCUUCAUUGAAGUGACGAAUCUUCUGGUGACUGUCCUGUAGCUGCUGCUUCUGCGACCUUGAGCCUCUUCUGUUUGAUUGUUCUUGUGGCUCCUCAAACGUCUCAGGACAUCCUGGAAUUGCAACUCCAAGUGCUCCUUUCCCUGUACAUCAAUCAUCACCAAACAAAACAAUCACAUUUUUAUUUAAUCAGAUAUCUUAGUUGAUAUAUAUAACUUAAUAAAACUUUUAAGGUGAUUGAUAUGUCAACAAAGUCAUUCUAUAUAUAAUAAUAAUAAUUUGUAGUUAAAUAAUCAUGUAAAAUUUACUAUAGAGAUACUAUUUACUUAAAUCAUUAUUAUCUUUAGUAAAUGAUCUAUGGUAAUGUGAUGUUGAAAUUUGAACAAGUGGUGACAAAUGGAUUAAUAUACACUGAGAAAUGCUGGUGAUACUCUUUCUGAUAUGUGUGUUAGAAGCACUCCUUAUAUAUGAUUACCUUGGGCGAUGAUGAUCAUCCGGGGAUAAGGUGAGUAAGAUGGCAAGUGGAGGCCAUUGCGGUUGAGGGUGAGUUUGGAAACAGUGACACCGGCGCAUUUCAGCUCAGGGUGUUGAGAGUUCCAUGUUUGAAUCAAACCACCUUCGGACUCAACGCGGUGGUCGGGUUCCAACGCGUUGAGGUUGUUGAGUUGGCACUCGUUGAGCUUGCUGGAGCUAAUAGCAAAGCAUGCACUCGACAAGAGUAGCAAGCAAAGGGAAGAAAGAGAGAGAGUGAAGGGCUUCCCCAUAUUGAACUAAGGAAGUGUUAAUAAUUAA
Molecule: long non-coding RNA, 2424 nt
Filed under: Glycine max (soybean)
Lineage: Eukaryota; Viridiplantae; Streptophyta; Magnoliopsida; Fabales; Fabaceae
Description: long non-coding RNA (GMAX_LNC002132)
Source: RNAcentral